GGAACAGAGUCAAGUGCAGGCUGAGCCAGACCCUCAGGGCCUGGGCACUGGAGGGCAGGGCAGGACAGAGGAGGCGGGAGGCCCGGCUGCCCUGGCAGGUUGGCGAGCAGACGCUGGCUUCGUAGACUUCACCAGCAUAGAACACAAGGCUGCCUCUGCAGGAGACCUGGAUCCAUGGAAGGGAUGUGGUGGAGCCCCCUGCAAACUCCCCUGUCUAAGCCCCAGCUCCCUCUCUGCCCCACAGCCAGUGCUUUGCCUACAGGAUAUUCCAUUUGGAGCCCCAGGCCCAUGUGGCCCUUCUGCCAGAGCCAGGGAGCCCACUGCAGCCCUGAGGGCACUCACAUGGACAUGUUCUGGAAGCCUGUGCCAUUCUCCCAGCUGUCGAAGACGGGGAUUGUGCAGGGUGAGAGAAUGGUCCUCCAUGGCCCAGGGACAUCACCCAGGCAGCACUACCCACUGGGUGCAUAGGUGCAUGCCGACAGGGAAACUGAGGCGAAGAAGGGGCAGGGAUCCCACAGCAGUCGCACCACAAGGCUGGUCUCCCGCCUCCUGGUCCCCACCCUCUGGAGAAGCACACCCAGUUCUAGUGGACUAAAUGGGACACAAGGAAGCGUGAUGUGCCACAGUGCAGGGCAGGCCCAGCACUGUGGCAGCGGAAUACCUGAAAUGGAAGUGCAGCAGGACUGUGAUCAGCGAGGCCACGAUGGAGAUGCUGCAGCCCACGAGGGAGAUGUACGUAAGAGGUGCCAGCAACUCUGCAGGGACCAGGGCUGGGGAGAGUUGCUGCAGGAGGGAAGAGGGGCUGGAGGCCAGAAGCAUAGUAUCGCCCUUCCUCCCAGCCUCAGUCAGAGGGACCUCCUGAGGCCUCCUCUCCAAGUCCCCUUCCCCACAAGCCUAGCCAUGGACCUGGCUUGAACAAGGCCAUGGCAGAUACAGUCAGUUUUGCCCCCUCCACAUCUCCCAUCUCCCUCUUCUUCUAUGAGUGCCUCCCUUCUCCCACUCCCUAUGCACCUGUGGGGUUCCACCACUUUGCCCUCUUUGUGCAGAAAGGGGUGCCAGGCCUGGUCAAGCAGGGCCCUCCCUCCUUCUGCCUAUAGCGAUUGGGUCAGGGAUGAGCACAUGGCUGGCAGAACUGGGUAAAAGAAGAUUUUAUUCCACUGGCCUGAAAGCUAGCAGGGCAUGAGCCUGGAACUGCUGCCAGCUAUAUUAUUAUCUCAUAAGGAGAUCCUAUUUGAGGGCUAAGCCAGCACAGAGCAAGCACAGUUGAGGGACAAAGAUAGAGUGCUAUCUUAGUGAUCUUAGUGAUCAGCCCGUGGAUCAAGCCAUGCCUGAAGCCUAACCCAGCCUUUCCAGAAACAUGAGUCCAUAAAGUUUUUUUUGUUUUUUGCUUAAGCCCAUUUCAGUUGGACUUUCUGUCCCUUGCACCAGCUUUUGCCUUGCUCCUCUGCCACAGACACAGGGCCCUCUGUAGCUCUGAGCCCCACUCAGGAUGCAUACAUACCAUGAGAACAGCAAAGUAGGUGAGGUGGUUGCAGCGGCAGAGCACCUGAGAGUGGGAGGGCUGCUCUGUACGACAGCCCUCAGGGCUCCAGCCCCCCCAGGGCUGUUUCCUGGCUCCCUCCUUCCAGAAGACACAGGUCAGGGUGUAGCCUUCCUGGGUGGAGAUGCUGGGUCAGUCAUAGGGUGCAGAGGAAAGGCUGCAGAUCAGUGUCUGGGAGUCCUGGGGGCCAACGGUGACUCAACUGCACAUUUGCCAACAUUUUACCAGGCACUGGCUGGCCUUUGGCUUCAGACAGUCUCAGAUUCCUGUCCCACCUCCACUGUGGGCUCUCAGAGUGACCCAGGCAAGACACCAAGUUGCUCUGAGCCUCAGUUUAGUCAUCUACAGAAUAGGAUCAUUCGUACCCAUGUUACAACAAUGGUGGAAAAACAAAGGGCAACACGGAAUCUUGAGUGUCCAGCUCUGGCCUUUUAUACAGUAGGCGCUCCAUAACCAGCUGAUCCCUUCCCUUCCUCCCCAUGGGGAACAGCAAUGUGCUCAGACCCACGCCUGGUUGGGGGAGACUCAUCCACAGACAACCCUAAUGCCAAGCCACGUGGGUGGAGAAGUGG
This 2112-nucleotide long non-coding RNA is filed under the name Homo sapiens (human). RNAcentral describes it as "non-protein coding lnc-CCDC102A-2:5". The record is from RNAcentral. Lineage: Eukaryota; Metazoa; Chordata; Mammalia; Primates; Hominidae.